This 244-nucleotide ribosomal RNA is filed under the name uncultured bacterium. Its description in RNAcentral is "partial 16S ribosomal RNA". It matches the Rfam family "Bacterial small subunit ribosomal RNA", at positions 15 to 225 of the family's 1533-position model. The record is from RNAcentral.
GAUCCUGGCUCAGGACGAACGCUGGCGGCGUGACUAACACAUGCAAGUCGAACGGAGUUACGUUUUCACUUAAAUCUGGCUGAGGGGUUAGAUUUAAGGAGAGCGUAACUUAGUGGCGGACGGGUGAGUAACGCGUGAGCAACCUGCCUUCUUGAGGGGAAUAACGUCUGGAAACGGACGCUAAUACCGCAUAACAUCUGAGAGUCGCAUGGCACUCAGAUCAAAGGAGCAAUCCGCAGGAAGA